This 84-nucleotide transfer RNA is filed under the name Acinetobacter baumannii. Its description in RNAcentral is "tRNA-Tyr". It matches the Rfam family "tRNA". From Rfam's summary of the family: Transfer RNA (tRNA) molecules are approximately 80 nucleotides in length. Their secondary structure includes four short double-helical elements and three loops (D, anti-codon, and T loops). Further hydrogen bonds mediate the characteristic L-shaped molecular structure. tRNAs have two regions of fundamental functional importance: the anti-codon, which is responsible for specific mRNA codon recognition, and the 3' end, to which the tRNAs corresponding amino acid is attached (by aminoacyl-tRNA synthetases). tRNAs cope with the degeneracy of the genetic code in two manners: having more than one tRNA (with a specific anti-codon) for a particular amino acid; and 'wobble' base-pairing, i.e. permitting non-standard base-pairing at the 3rd anti-codon position. Lineage: Bacteria; Pseudomonadati; Pseudomonadota; Gammaproteobacteria; Moraxellales; Moraxellaceae. The record is from RNAcentral. RNAcentral also lists the same sequence under 162 other names.
GGUGAGAUUCCCGAGCGGUCAAAGGGGGCGGACUGUAACUCCGCUACGAAAGUUUCGAAGGUUCGAAUCCUUCUCUCACCACCA